AGGCACCUAACAACAGUCGUCAACAGAGAGCCCCACGGGUGUAGAAGACAACUUUGAUAAUACUGCAGCUCAUAAACUCAGAACCUUCCAUUAUAUCUUGUCAAGCUUUUCAGCCUUAACAACUGGGUUGGCUUUCGCAAUAGCAUCUUGAGCAGCCUUGUGAUAAUCAUAGGGACAGUCAUGCUUGUCAGAGUAGCGAUGGGUUGAGCAGAAAAGAUGCCCACAUCGGCAAUUGAAGCCAGUCAAACCAACUCGUUUCCUACAGGUAUUGCACCGCUUUGGCCCCUCUUUAGGCUUCUCUACAUUGUCAUUCUCUGGUGGUACGCAUACAACUUGCUUGGGUAUUACCAGGGACUCUGCCGGGCCUUCCUGAACACCCACAGCAACAUCAACAGCCUUUGCAGUGGGGCUUGAACUUCCAUUCACAAAGCUCUCAAUAGAUGAAGCAGCAAGUUCAGCUUGUUCUUGCUUA
Molecule: long non-coding RNA, 472 nt
Filed under: Nicotiana tabacum (common tobacco)
Lineage: Eukaryota; Viridiplantae; Streptophyta; Magnoliopsida; Solanales; Solanaceae
Description: long non-coding RNA (NTAB_LNC002034)
Source: RNAcentral